Molecule: long non-coding RNA, 685 nt
Organism: Apus apus (common swift)
Lineage: Eukaryota; Metazoa; Chordata; Aves; Apodiformes; Apodidae
Exons: 4
Source: RefSeq, a predicted model, not a curated record
AUUCAAAAAGGAUGAAUACACCCUACAUUUAUAACCUCUGUAAUAUGAAAGAAGCAAAGAGAUGGUUGCGCUUCUCCAGGAUUACUUUCCUUGCCGGUGAUCCUCUAUUUUGAAGAAACUAAGGCAUUGAAGAAUGAUCUAAAGCACUGAAUGCAAGAAAGCCAUUAGCCUGGUUUGAUGAGUGAGAUGGUGAGAUAACAACAAAAAACUACAAAAGAAGAAUUCUGUUUUAAAGACCCCACUUAGAUUCAGUGAUCCUAUUCUCCUUCCAGUCUGAGUUAGUAAUGUAUAAAAAUGGAUCAAAAUAAUAAACAGCUCCUAACCACUUUUUUUGUAACUCAUGCUCUGAAUCAUCCCUGAAUUCCAACCAACACUGCUGAAUCUCUCUGCUGCUGCAAGAAGCCUCCCCUUCCCUGUGUCUCCUCAGGACUGACAGCAUGGGAGAACAGCUUGAGGUCAGAUCCUCUCUGCCCUCUUGACUCUUCUUCUAGAGGAUGGAAACAAGGAAGCCCUCCUUUGCCUUCACUGGAGGAGGAUGGGGAGGCAUUGGCCUUGAAUCUACACUCACUCAUCCACUUCAGUGCGUGCACAGAGCCCCGUGGAGGAAGACAGCAGAAAUUCCUUGGGGAGAAUCAAGGAUAAAGAAGAAAAAUUCUCAGCAUCUGCAAUAUUUUGGUAGGAGGGA